This 2861-nucleotide long non-coding RNA is filed under the name Gossypium barbadense (sea-island cotton). RNAcentral's name for it is "long non-coding RNA (GBAR_LNC009423)". Lineage: Eukaryota; Viridiplantae; Streptophyta; Magnoliopsida; Malvales; Malvaceae. The record is from RNAcentral.
UGGAUGUGCCAUAAUCUAGCUGUUACUAUGAGUGUAUUUUUGCCAUUUUAAAUUAUGUAAAAUAAAAAAAUACAUUUAAUAGGAUUCGAGCACAAAAAUCAUAAUUUUCAAUGUCUUAUCUUUACACUUUCAACCAAAAAUUCAAUUGUUUUAAUUAUCGACCAAAACGUCUUCGCUGCUACUCAAAAUUUGAUCCAAUUUAGCACCAGAGCAAAAGAGAUAAUGAAUGAUCCGCCCCACCACUAGUUUCCUACAACCUUAUCUUAGACAGUCAUCGAUUCAUGUUUGUCAGAGGCGAUACCUGGAACCUCCUCUAUCCAGAACUCAGAACACUGUCGCCUAAGACCCUCCUGGGCCAGCAAGUGAGCCACUUAAUUUGUUUCCCUCUUGUGCUGCAUGUAACAGCUCAACCUAAAUCCUGCUCCAAUUUGCUUUCCAUCUUUAAUCAGCGCGCUCACACAUGGUCUGUCCUCUCCAUCUCGAAAUCCCAGUUCUUCAGCAAAGCGUAGAGCUUGGACCGCUGCCAGCCCUUCUACCACAAAAUAAUCAGGUACAUGGUCAUUCACUUGAAACCACGCUGCCAAAAUCUCUCCUGUAUCUCGAAUGAUUAUUCCUGAACUGGACUUUUGUCUAUCUUUUUGAAAUGCUGCAUCGAAAUUGAUUUUGACGCACGGAUCCGCUGGUGGUUUCCAUGUUACUGACCGAGUUCUUAUUACAAGCGUUUGGUCCUGGCCAAUCAUAUGCAGUUCUGCUACAUGCGCUCUCACAAAGGUAACAACGACUCCAUAUAAUUGGGUAAUAGAUUCAUGAACUAAUUUGUUUCUAGAAUUCCACAGUGCCCAUAUUAUAACACAGAGGUACUGUUUAAUGUUGGACCCCCUCCACUGUAAAAGAUAGCUCUACCAAUCAACUAACUCGCUAUCGUCCAUCUGUGCAGGCCAAGAAAUACUCAAUUCCUCCCAUACAUUGCGAGUGAAACAACAAUUCCACACUACAUGCACACUUGACUCAGGAGUCAGGACAUAGGUGGCAUCUUGGACAUAGCGGGCUUGAAGCAAUCCUUAGAUUGUAUAAGUUAUCCAUAAUCGGAAUAAAAUUCCUAAGAAGUCUCCAGCAAGUAAUCUUUAUUUUUGGUGGGAUUUGUAUUGCCCUUAAGGCCUUGUAAUUGAAAUUCAUACGCCGGUCCUGUAGAGUAGAAGCAAUAGGAUCAAAAUUAUCUGAUGCAAUCAACUUGUAGCUACUCCAUACCGAGUAGAUUCCAGUGUUUGUCCCCACUCCAUACUUGCACAUCUUCCAGCCCUGAUGCAGCAACUGAAAUGCAUAAUACUCUCUUGACCUCUUCCUUCGAAAAUAGACUUCACACCAACAGUAUAUUCCAUCUCCCCUCAUUAGGGACUAUUAAAUCAGAAACCAUAUUGAACUCAUUACUAAUCUGAUCAGAUUGAAUUCUGCAGUUUCCUACUCCUGGGAGCCAGCAAUCAUUCAAAAUUGAGAUGGAGCGUCCAUCACCAACCUUCCAUCGGAGCCCCACCUCUAAUACCCUCUGAGCGCUCCAAAUACUCCACCAAGUAUAAGUAGAGUUCACACCCAUCUCUGCCCUUAGAAAAUCUUUAGAGGAGUAAUAUUUAGCUUUUAAAAUGAGUGCCACUAAAGAGUUAGGAUUAGUCAAGAGCCUCCACCUCUGCUUGGCCAACAUGGCAAUAUUAAACUUCCCCCAAUUUUGAAAUCCCAUAACUCCCGUUCCCUUUGAUGCACAAAGCUGAGCCCAUGAGCACCAAUGCAUGCUCUUUUUAUGACUAGAUUUAGCCCACCUAAAACGGCUCAAAAUUCUUUCCAUCUCUCGGUAGAGCAAAAUCGGUAACAGAAAACAAGUCAUAACAUACGUGGGAAUGGACUGCAAAACUGACUUUAUAAAUACUCCCUUACCUCCUUGGGGUAACAGCCUGCCACUCCAACUCUCCACUUUGCUGCGCAUGCACUCCUUCAAUCUUUGAAACGCCUCCCUUCUCUGCCUCCCAACCGUCGAGGAUAACGCUCCAGUAUGAACCUGAAAAAUAAUUUUAUCUGAAGCCGAAGGUCAUCGGUAACAUUCACUCAAAUAAAUAAGGCUUUUAUCAAAAUUCACACUUUGACCUGAACAACGUUGAUAAUCUUCUAUGAUAUCCUUAAGAUUCGAUGCCCUUAUCACCGUAGCCUUAUAAAACUCGUAUGCAAAAAGCGAGUUAACCUUGGUCCACCAUGACAAACACGAGUACCCAUGAUUCUUCCUUCCUCUUUCCCUAAAUUGAAAGACAUAGAGAACCCUUCACUACAAACCAAAAAUAAAUAAAGACUCGAUGGGGACUCAACGGGUCUUCCUGUCAAAGACCUCUUGUAGGUAAGAACAUCUCCCCCCUCUUUCCAUUAAGAACAACCGAGUAUGUCACCGUAAUAGUGCAAUGCAUUAUUACAUCAACAACGGAAUCAAGAAACCCCACUUGGUGCAACAUUGCCUCCACAAAAGAUCAUUCCACCAGAUCAUAUGCUUUGCAUGUGUCUAAUUUCAAGGUAAAGGUAGAUUCUCUUUUUUCUAUAAGAGUCUAGCAUCUCAAACAAUUAAAAUAUUAUCCAAGAUUACUCUCCCAGGGAUGAAAGCACUCUAUACACCCAAUCAAUACAUUACGGAAGAACACCUUGUAAUCUAUUGGCGAUAACCUUAAAAAUAAUUUUAUGAAGGAUAUUACAAGUCGGAAUUGGGUCAUAAUUCACGGACAAGAAAUUUUAAGGAUCAAUACAAUGUUCAUAUAGUUUAUGUGUUAGCAAUUUUGGUUUAAAAAACAGUUUUUAGUCAUAGAAGAAGUUUAAAAUUUUUGAAAUUUGAG